Molecule: long non-coding RNA, 1195 nt
Organism: Lagenorhynchus albirostris (white-beaked dolphin)
Lineage: Eukaryota; Metazoa; Chordata; Mammalia; Artiodactyla; Delphinidae
Exons: 3
Source: RefSeq, a predicted model, not a curated record
ACAAGGUCCUACUGUAUAGCACAGGGAACUAACUAUAUUCAAUAUCCUGUAAUAAACUAUAAUGGAAAAGAAUACAAAAAAGAAUAUAUAUAUAUGUAACUGAAUCACUUUGCUGUUUACCAGAAACUAACACAACACUGUAAAUCAAUUGUAUUUCAAUAGAAAAUAAAAAUAAAUAAAUAAUCAAGAAAAUAGAGUUCUAGAGACCUCACUAGAUUUAAUCAUUGUACUUUCAAUAAUAAAUUCCUUUUUACUUUCCUUUGGCUUCUGGUAGAACUCCCAGCUGCGCUAAGGCACACGAGAGGAGGGGAGCAGGGUGUCUGGCAGAUGGUAACCAGGAGGGGGUGAGGAAGAGGGGAUGGCGAAUGGCAGCAGGAAUCCAGGCCAAGAUGCAGCCCAUGACAAAAAGGAGCCAGUGGAGUACUUAGUGUGGGGAUUUGAUGCGGGUGCUGACACCCUGACCACCUUUCUCUGACCAUAUGCCUGCAUCUGCACCUGUUACUGCACCUGCAACUCUGAAUCCACCUUUUCCUGGGUCAGGGUGCUGUGUUAGGUGGUCACCCAGCCUAGGGCCCUGUAGAACCCGGGCCUCCCAUGUGAGUGGGAUCUGGGCCUGUUCCUGCAACCAGCUCAGUGGUGCACCUGCAACUGAAUGUCCCUCGUGGGGAUGAGGGGUGCAGAGGACCAGAACCAACCUUACCGGAGGACGCUGGGCCACAGACUGGUUUGUCAAGGUAGCUGACAACAUGUGUGUGGCUUUGCCCAGCCCGUGCAGGCUGCUGGCCCACCGCCGCCCGCCCGCCCCCGCGCCGGUCCCUCUACCAGGUCAAAUGCUUUCAGCUGCACACAAGGAACAGCGGGACUGCCUAUAUGCUGAACCACGAGAUGUUGCAGCUCUUGGCGGCUGCGCCGGCCUCAGGCUGCUGUGUCCUUGCAGUCCUGUGCAUGACACGGGGGUGGGCAAAUGUCUGCCUCAGCUGAACAUGGAGUUUGUGACACCAGGGACAUCUGUGAUUGGGAGACCUUCCAUCCCUUCCCUCCCUGCCAGGAGAGGGACCCCUACAAUAAAGCUCUACUUCUGGUACCAGGUGCUCAAAGUGGAUAGGCUGGCCUGGGGCAGUCCUCCAGGACUGAUGCUGGAGCCCCUACCAGGUGCCCUCUGAACAGAUAUUGUUCAGAUUACAAAUAAACAGAU